This 512-nucleotide ribosomal RNA is filed under the name uncultured bacterium. RNAcentral describes it as "bacterial SSU rRNA". It matches the Rfam family "Bacterial small subunit ribosomal RNA", at positions 21 to 518 of the family's 1533-position model. The record is from RNAcentral.
GGUUCAGAACGAACGCUGGCGGCGCGUCUUAAGCAUGCAAGUCGGACGGCAAGGGUUGUGCUUGCACAACUCCUAGAGUGGCGGACUGGUGAGUAACGCGUGGGUGACCUGCCCUCGAGAUGGGGAUAGCCAUUAGAAAUAGUGGAUAAUACCGAAUACGCUCAUGACCCUGUGGGAUAUGAGGAAAACAGGCUACGGCCUGGCUCGAGGAUGGGCCCGCGUCCCAUUAGCUAGUUGGUGAGGUAACGGCCCACCAAGGCGACGAUGGGUAUCCGGCCUGAGAGGGUGUACGGACACAUUGGGACUGAGAUACGGCCCAAACUCCUACGGGAGGCAGCAGCUAAGAAUAUUCCGCAAUGGACGAAAGUCUGACGGAGCGACGCCGCGUGGAUGAAGAAAGGCCGGAAGGUUGUAAAAUCCUUUUGCUGAUGAAGAAUAAGUGUGGUAGGGAAUGACCGCAUGAUGACAUUAGUCGGUGAAUAAGCCCCGGCUAACUACGUGCCAGCAGCAGC